RNAcentral lists this transfer RNA (74 nucleotides) under Pyrinomonadaceae bacterium. RNAcentral describes it as "tRNA-Leu". It matches the Rfam family "tRNA". From Rfam's summary of the family: Transfer RNA (tRNA) molecules are approximately 80 nucleotides in length. Their secondary structure includes four short double-helical elements and three loops (D, anti-codon, and T loops). Further hydrogen bonds mediate the characteristic L-shaped molecular structure. tRNAs have two regions of fundamental functional importance: the anti-codon, which is responsible for specific mRNA codon recognition, and the 3' end, to which the tRNAs corresponding amino acid is attached (by aminoacyl-tRNA synthetases). tRNAs cope with the degeneracy of the genetic code in two manners: having more than one tRNA (with a specific anti-codon) for a particular amino acid; and 'wobble' base-pairing, i.e. permitting non-standard base-pairing at the 3rd anti-codon position. The record is from RNAcentral. Lineage: Bacteria; Pseudomonadati; Acidobacteriota; Blastocatellia; Blastocatellales; Pyrinomonadaceae.
GCCGACGUAGCCCAAUCGGGAGAGGCGGCAGUUUUAGAAACUGCUCAGUGUGAGUUCGACUCUCACCGUCGGUA